This 253-nucleotide ribosomal RNA is filed under the name uncultured bacterium. RNAcentral's name for it is "partial 16S ribosomal RNA". It matches the Rfam family "Bacterial small subunit ribosomal RNA", at positions 524 to 776 of the family's 1533-position model. The record is from RNAcentral.
GACGUAGGGUGCGAGCGUUGUCCGGAUUUAUUGGGCGUAAAGAGCUCGUAGGCGGCUCGUCGCGUCGACCGUGAAAACCCGCGGCUUAACUGCGGGCUUGCGGUUGAUACGGGCGGGCUAGAGUUCGGUAGGGGAGACUGGAAUUCCUGGUGUAGCGGUGAAAUGUACAGAUAUCAGGAGGAACACCGGUGGCGAAGGCGGGUCUCUGGGCCGAUACUGACGCUGAGGAGCGAAAGCGUGGGGAGCGAACAGG